UACAGAGGGUGCGAGCGUUGUUCGGAAUUACUGGGCGUAAAGCGCGCGUAGGCGGCUGUUUAAGUCUCGCUGUGAAAUUCCGGGGCUCAACCCCGGGGCUGCAGGGGAUACUGGACGGCUGGAGACAGGUAGAGGCGAGUGGAAUUCCGGGUGUAGCGGUGGAAUGCGUAGAGAUCCGGAAGAACACCAGAGGCGAAGGCGGCUCGCUGGGCCUGGUCUGACGCUGAGGCGCGAAAGCAUGGGUAGCGAACGGG
This 254-nucleotide unclassified non-coding RNA is filed under the name uncultured Gemmatimonadota bacterium. RNAcentral's name for it is "uncultured Gemmatimonadetes bacterium contains 16S-23S intergenic spacer region". It matches the Rfam family "Bacterial small subunit ribosomal RNA", at positions 524 to 776 of the family's 1533-position model. The record is from RNAcentral. Lineage: Bacteria; Pseudomonadati; Gemmatimonadota.